AUGGCUGCGAAAACUGGUGUGAGGUCUCAAGACUUCUCGCAGCGGUUCUGGUACACCUUGUCCCGUGCGAUCAGUGAGCUCUGCGUGAUCAUAUUGCUCCAUGUGGCUGCUACAACAUCAUAUGUGGCCACAAGGUUGGCACACAUCAGCAGGCUAAGGGCGCCAUGCACCAUGUGCUCAAGACUGGACCAAGCCCUCCAUGGCAAGGCAUGGUUCUCCGCUGAUUUGGUGUGUGCUGCCCAUAGGACCGAGAUAUCAUCUUUGGCAUACUGCAAGAGUCACAACAAUCUUGCACAUUCUGCUGAUCUCUGCAAGAGAUGCCUUGCUGCAUGCACCCUGGCAGGCUUUGUCGAUGAGGUUAAUUCUUGGUCCGGAUCGAGGUCUAGACAGUUAUGUUCUUGCUGUUUGGAGCCAUUCAAGAAGGCGUGCAACGCACAAAAGCUUUAUGAAACUGCGGAUGUUAAGGAGCCCUCACAUAAUGUGCAUGGUUCAGACGAAAUCAAGCAGAGGAGCCAAGUUGCUGUGAUAGAAAAAAUCAAUCCUUCCAUGCCACCCAAGGUUGUACCUGAACAGGUCUCUACAGAUCAUUCAAAAGUUAAAGUGGGUAUUGAGGAAGUCAGGGAGUCAGAUGCUUCACCAGGCGCAUAUGAACAAUCUACGAAGGACAAUGGUGCUUCUUCAAAUGCUGGUUUGGCAGCAAAGCCUGCGCCCAGUGCGUCUGCCCUGCCUUCGCGCAUUUUCGUCGAUCGCAACAACAGUAUUAAGAACACUUUCGUCAGUAGGGUCAAUCUGCCAUCUCCUCGCCCAUCAGAGAUAAUCUCUGCCCGGGACAACAAUUCUACAACUCAACAAGAAGUGAAGGCACUCCUUACUCAGAUGUCCUCUGUAAGGGGCCUUGACUAUUCUUUGACUGAAGGAGUAACUAGUACUGAUACCAUGAUUCAGAAUGAUGAAAGCAAUGGUACCAGCAGGAGGCCAUACCUCGAGAGAAAUUACUCUAUGUUGGAACCGUCGGAUGCAAACCUCGGCAUUUGUGAAGCUGAAGGAGAGAUCUCACUUGAGAGUUUGAAGCGGCAGAUUGAGAUCAACAAGAAGUCAAUGCUUGUCCUUUACAAGGAGCUCGAGGAAGAAAGGAGCGCUUCAGCGAUUGCAGCUAGCCAAGCCAUGGCCAUGAUCAACAGAUUGCAUGAGGAAAAGGCUGCCAUGCAGAUGGAAGCACUACAAUAUCUUAGGAUGAUGGAAGAGCAGGCUGACCAUGACCAUGAAGCGAUACAGAAUCUACACGACUUGCUUACAGAGAGGGAGAAAGAAUUACUUGACAUGGAUGCCGAACUAGACAGUUGUCGGAGGCUACUCCAGCACGGCCAAUUUAAUGGGGGGAAUUUUGAUGAUACAGUGGACAAUACACCCGGAUAUGACAAGAAUGUGUCAUUUGAUGUCUUGAAUGCAUCAGAUUUCAUGACGAGCACCAUGUCAGGUUUCGAAGAAGAAAAGGCAUACAUUUUGGAAUCACUGGGCAGAUUGGAGGAAAAGCUUCGCAUUUCUACAUACAAGCUUGCUUCUAAUGAUACCACAAACAUUCAAGAGACAUUGCUUGGAGAUCAUAUAGGGGAUGAAUCAAGUUCUUUUCAGCAAUCAAUUGAGCAGAAGGACAAGGAUGAGUGUUCAUGUUCUUCUUUCGACAACGAAAAAAUGAGUGGCCUAAACAAUCUUCAGGAUGAAAUUUCACUCUUGGAUACACGACUGAGGGCCCUUGAAGAUGAUCAUGAGUUUCUCAAGCGGGUACUCAGUUCCCUCAAAGGCGAUGGGCUUCAGUGUGUACGAGACAUAAUGAGCCAUUUACAUGAGUUGCGAAGAGUUGCAGCUCAAUGA
RNAcentral lists this ribosomal RNA (1872 nucleotides) under Triticum aestivum (bread wheat). RNAcentral's name for it is "partial small subunit ribosomal RNA". The record is from RNAcentral. Lineage: Eukaryota; Viridiplantae; Streptophyta; Magnoliopsida; Poales; Poaceae.